UUCAGGCUUGCAUUGCUGAAAAUGAAGCAGAUAGGCAUGUUUCAAACUUGCAGGGGAUACCUGUUCUUGGUAGGAUAGGGGCUAAUGACAGAACUGUUCAUCCAUUUUCUCUAAGGAGGAUGUACAGACGAUUGAAGGAGGAGAAUGUGAAUGUAACAUACAAGGAGUUACCUGGAAAAGAGCAUUGGUGGUGGGAUACCUGGUAA
Molecule: long non-coding RNA, 206 nt
Organism: Anneissia japonica
Lineage: Eukaryota; Metazoa; Echinodermata; Crinoidea; Comatulida; Comatulidae
Exons: 3
Source: RefSeq, a predicted model, not a curated record